UUGAGGACACACCCACAGUCAGGAGAAUCUCAUGAAUAUUCAUGUCAGUGUCACUCUGUGAGCCAGUAAUAUUUCAGGAUAUACCUGUAGAUCACACAGGUGUGUUUUAGUGAAGUGAAAGAGUCAAAGAGCUCAGAUUGUGUUCCUGCUGCACAAGAGCGUCUGUACUUCUGCAUGUGAUGGUCAGCGGCUGAUUGUUUCCUGAAAGCUCUGCUAAUGUCUGCAUUGGUGUUUUAGCUGCAGUAUGGCAGAGGAGCGAGUAAAGGACUCUCUCUCAGAGAUACACAGGGUGAGAUCAAGAUCACGUGUGUCCAGCUCUGUGUUUCUAUUGAAUGACUGCUCAAAACUUCAUCAAAACAUUCGCUCAAAACAUCAU
This is a long non-coding RNA of Danio aesculapii, 376 nucleotides long. RefSeq lists it as uncharacterized. The transcript has 3 exons. Lineage: Eukaryota; Metazoa; Chordata; Actinopteri; Cypriniformes; Danionidae. The record is from RefSeq and is a predicted model, not a curated record.